GUUGAGUUCAGAGGGUAAUGCACGGAUACUAGAGUGGUGGGAAUGAGGCGAAGUGAAGAUGGGUUCACAGGAUAGUGCACAGAUACUGAAAAUGAAAAUCGCAGGAUUCAGAGCUCUUUUAGAUGAAAUACUUCAGAAAAUUAGUUUCUAAAGUUUCUCAAAAACUUUGAGAGCUUCGAAUGGCAAUGUAGUAAGACUGAAUCAGAGUUUAGAGUUUUUCCACGAUAAUCACCACCUCCCCCCUUUCUACAGUAUUGCAUGCAGGUAUU
RNAcentral lists this unclassified non-coding RNA (269 nucleotides) under Hevea brasiliensis (rubber tree). Lineage: Eukaryota; Viridiplantae; Streptophyta; Magnoliopsida; Malpighiales; Euphorbiaceae. The record is from RNAcentral.